This is a long non-coding RNA of Nematostella vectensis (starlet sea anemone), 2309 nucleotides long. RefSeq lists it as uncharacterized. Lineage: Eukaryota; Metazoa; Cnidaria; Anthozoa; Actiniaria; Edwardsiidae. The transcript has 2 exons. The record is from RefSeq and is a predicted model, not a curated record.
GUGUGUGGGGGGGGGGGGGGGGGGGGGGGGUUCGUUCGCACCCCUCCUAGGUACGGGCCUUUACAAUUCAUAAAGACAUGGCAGUAAAAAAAUGACUUUUUUAAUCUCAUUAAAAAAACAUUUUAAAGACACCUAGAUCCCCCUAAAUUACCCCUAUCAGUCAACACAAAAAGGUAUCAAAUGCUGGCUCCGUCUUUAGGCAGUGCCUAAAUCUAUAUAUUAUGCUUCUGUACAAAGUUUUACAUUUAUGUUACGUGUAUUUACACUUAUAGGAAAUCAAUGUUUCUAUAUUUAUGUGUCAUGUCUUUCCUUUCAUCUUUGGUCUGAUCAUGCACCUAUGCACGCUCACAAGAAUCUUCUCAUACGAAGGAGGUGGGCUUCUCAGGAAGAAGAAGAAGAUCUUUGAUUAUUUUAAACCAUCAGUUACUCACACACUCUACGGAGCAUUGACAAAGGGCUGUACAUCACAAGCUGGCCUUCCGCCUGGUGUGUGGUACCAGAGCAUCUCGCGUAGGAGGGAUGGAAUCGAAAUGUCGUCCCUUUUUGGCAAACAGAUCCUUCCUUGACUCAUUUUCUGAAGCAGAGGACGUACGGUCGUACAUGAGAACAACAUACCUCUCCAGUGUUGCUAUCCAGUCAUGUGGAGCACGUGACAUAGACACAAAGACCGGUGUAACUUGAGGGAAUGCUCUCCAUGUGUCCAAUGCUGUCUUUUACUUCUUCGGUGAAAGCAAGAAACAGUGUCACAUCCUGUGAACGCAUGGAAUGCUGGCAGACCAAGCGCCAUGUCGAUGCUUAAAGCAUUUGCGAUUUUGUGGGCUGCAAUUAACCCUGACCCAAAAGAUACCCACAGCUCGAUGUCUUCGCUUGUACGCCGCUUCAGUGGACUAAGGAGACUCACAGCCAAGACUAAGACAUCGGUGUCGACUGUGCGCAAAACAACUCGCUGAUGGCCACAGAGCACUGAAUCUGCUGCAUGAAGGAACAUCCUAGUGUCGGCUUCUUCGUGAGAACAUGGAGCCAAAUACUGAAGUUGUCCUCGCGAGGGACGCUGCUGAGUACUUCUGUUCCAUAGGUGGAGAUCUUGUUUAGGGUGGCAGUCAGCAGUGACAAAACUUUCUCCCAGAAACUUGAAGAGCUCUUCCUUGUUCCGAUCAUCGCGUAGAAAAUCCUUCCAGCUUCUGGGAAGUUUGUUUACUGGUUCAACACGUUGACGAACUCCAGCCCCGCGAUGACUCCCAGUUGUAGGUUUCAGACUGUUUUCUAUGUAUUCAUCAAAUACGAGGUCAAUUCGCUCAACGUGACGUACUUGGGCAAGAAUAUAUUUGAUGAAGGUGCGUUGAGCGUAAUCAGAAAAAGUUUUCUCCGUUCCCUUGGGUUUCAGCAUAUUCACCUCAGCCGCUCCGUCAACAAUCAUCACGUCACAUUCACCUUGUUAGUUCUGACUUACGGGGCAGCUUCAGUCUUCCUUGAUCGGAAAUGGAUGGCGGGCAUGGCUGAUUUUCGUGUUGGAAAAACCCAUCCAGGUCUCCUUUUCUGGUUUGACACCCAAUAAACAGACGCGAAAACAAGGCGCGAAUGGGUUACCCAUCUCGUCAAUCACCUGGGCGAGUGCCUUCACAUCUUUAUGAAAAGUAACUUGGUAAGCUUUGUCAACCUCGUGGUGAUGUUUUGAUUCGGAGUGCACCUCUGGGUUCAUUUCUACCUUGAACUCAUUGACUGGACGUGCAAUUUCUGGACCGGAAAGCAUCCGUCUGCGAAGUGCAUUGGUAUUCUCCGUCAAGCCUACUGCGCUACCGUCACCUUUUACCAGGGCAUUAUUCUGUUCUUGUGCCUGGUCGAUUGCAAUCGCAGAGAAUCGUCGGGAUGUCUUCGUAACAGCAAACAAGCCCUCCCUGAAUGCGCGUGCAACAUCGGGUGCCUUCAUAUCAAGCUCACACAUAUCUUUGACAUGUACACGGAGCCAACGAGAAUAGUGGGUGUGGUUAAGAGCAAAGAACCAAGGAAGCAUCUUGUAGAGGGCGUCCCUGUACAUGUCAAAGUCGUCGAGGCGAACAGAUCUGACGAACACUAAGAGUAGAAGCUCUAACUGGAGAUAAGUGUACCAGUACUGAAACUGCGAAACUGCUGAUCUUUGUUCAUCACACCAUUUGUCGAAUGAAACUUUGGGAUUCCUGUGUGCGCUGUCGGUCACGUGGAAGCACCAUGAAAAACAUCCUCCAUGGUUUUUGUAUGUCGGUGGAAUAUAAUGAGAUCUUAAGAGUGGAAGCUCAGAUAGAAAAUAACGUGCUUCAGCGAAUGCAGCAAAA